CCGUAAACCUAAAUAGACAUAGAACAAGAUUAUUCGCCAGAGUACUACUAGCAACAGCCUGAAACUCAAAGGACUUGGCGGUGCUUCAUACCCCUCUAGAGGAGCCUGUUCUGUAACCGAUAAACCCCGAUCAACCUCACCAACCCUUGCUACUCCAGUCUAUAUACCGCCAUCUUCAGCAAACCCUAAAAAGGAAUAAAAGUAAGCAUAACUACCCCACGUAAAAACGUUAGGUCAAGGUGUAACUCAUGGGGUGGGAAGAAAUGGGCUACAUUUUCUACAUUAAGAACACCCUUCAUACUCACACGAAAGUUUUCAUGAAACCUGAAAGCCAAAGGAGGAUUUAGUAGUAAAUUAAGAAUAGAGUGCUUAAUUGAAUAAGGCCA
This 386-nucleotide ribosomal RNA is filed under the name Kogia breviceps (pygmy sperm whale). RNAcentral's name for it is "small subunit ribosomal RNA". It matches the Rfam family "Bacterial small subunit ribosomal RNA", at positions 800 to 1374 of the family's 1533-position model. Lineage: Eukaryota; Metazoa; Chordata; Mammalia; Artiodactyla; Physeteridae. The record is from RNAcentral.